GGAAGGGUUGUAUUUAUUAGAUAAAGAACCAAUAUUUUUGGUGACUCAUAAUAACUUUACGGAUCACAUUAUGUGACAUAUCAUUCAAGUUUCUGACCUAUCAGCUUUAGACGGUAGGGUAUUGGCCUACCGUGGCUAUGACGGGUAACGGGGAAUUAGGGUUCGAUUCCGGAGAGGGAGCCUGAGAAACGGCUACCACAUCUAAGGAAGGCAGCAGGCGCGCAAAUUACCCAAUCCUAAUACAGGGAGGUAGUGACAAGAAAUAACAAUACAGAACCUUACGGUUUUGUAAUUGGAAUGAGUUAAGUAUAAACCCCUUAACAAGUAUCAAUUGGAGGGCAAGUCUGGUGCCAGCAGCCGCGGUAAUUCCAGCUCCAAUAGCGUAUAUUAAAGUUGUUGCAGUUAAAAAGCUCGUAGUUAAUCUUCUGUUAAUUUUUAUAUAUAAUAUUUCGAUAUUUAUAUAAUAUUAACAUAAUUCAUAUUACUUUUUAGUAUAUGAAACUUUACUUUGAGAAAAUUAGAGUGCUUAAAGCAGGCUAUUGCCUUGAAUACUCCAGCAUGGAAUAAUAUUAAGGAUUUUUAUUCUUCUUAUUGGUUCUAGAAUAAAAAUGAUGAUUAAUAGGAACAGUUGGGGGCAUUUGUAUUUAACAGUCAGAGGUGAAAUUCUUAGAUUUGUUAAAGACAAACUACUGCGAAAGCAUUUGCCAAGGAUGUUUUCAUUAAUCAAGAACGAAAGUUAGGGGAUCGAAGACGAUCAGAUACCGUCGUAGUCUUAACCAUAAACUAUGCCAACUAGAGAUUGGAGGUUGUUCCUUACUCCUUCAGCACCUUAUGAG
This 836-nucleotide ribosomal RNA is filed under the name Cryptosporidium xiaoi. Its description in RNAcentral is "SSU rRNA". It matches the Rfam family "Eukaryotic small subunit ribosomal RNA", at positions 194 to 1094 of the family's 1831-position model. The record is from RNAcentral. Lineage: Eukaryota; Apicomplexa; Conoidasida; Eucoccidiorida; Cryptosporidiidae.